Molecule: transfer RNA, 72 nt
Filed under: Thermoleophilaceae bacterium
Lineage: Bacteria; Bacillati; Actinomycetota; Thermoleophilia; Thermoleophilales; Thermoleophilaceae
Also listed under: 1 other name
Description: tRNA-Thr
Rfam family: tRNA
About the family: Transfer RNA (tRNA) molecules are approximately 80 nucleotides in length. Their secondary structure includes four short double-helical elements and three loops (D, anti-codon, and T loops). Further hydrogen bonds mediate the characteristic L-shaped molecular structure. tRNAs have two regions of fundamental functional importance: the anti-codon, which is responsible for specific mRNA codon recognition, and the 3' end, to which the tRNAs corresponding amino acid is attached (by aminoacyl-tRNA synthetases). tRNAs cope with the degeneracy of the genetic code in two manners: having more than one tRNA (with a specific anti-codon) for a particular amino acid; and 'wobble' base-pairing, i.e. permitting non-standard base-pairing at the 3rd anti-codon position.
Source: RNAcentral
GCCGGAGUAGCUCAGGGGUAGAGCACCGGUUUUGUAAACCGGCUGUCGCGGGUUCGAAUCCCGCCUCCGGCU